This 253-nucleotide ribosomal RNA is filed under the name uncultured bacterium. RNAcentral describes it as "partial 16S ribosomal RNA". It matches the Rfam family "Bacterial small subunit ribosomal RNA", at positions 524 to 776 of the family's 1533-position model. The record is from RNAcentral.
UACAGAGGGUGCGAGCGUUGUCCGGAUUUACUGGGCGUAAAGAGCGCGCAGGCGGUCGAUCAAGUCGAGUGUGAAAGCCCCCGGCUCAACUGGGGAGGGUCAUUCGAUACUGAUCGACUCGAAGGCAGGAGAGGGUAGUGGAAUUCCCGGUGUAGUGGUGAAAUGCGUAGAUAUCGGGAGGAACACCAGUGGCGAAGGCGACUACCUGGCCUGUUCUUGACGCUGAGGCGCGAAAGCUAGGGGAGCAAACGGG